RNAcentral lists this ribosomal RNA (792 nucleotides) under uncultured archaeon. RNAcentral describes it as "bacterial SSU rRNA". It matches the Rfam family "Archaeal small subunit ribosomal RNA", at positions 48 to 839 of the family's 1478-position model. The record is from RNAcentral.
GACAUGCGAGUCGAGGGUGGUUCGCCCACCCGGCAAACGGCUCAGUAACACGUGGAUAAUCUAACCUUGGGUGAGGGAUAAUCUCGGGAAACUGAGGACAAUACCUUACAGGCCUUGGAUACUGGAAUGUUCCAAGGUUAAAAGCGUCUAGCGCCCAAGGAUGAGUCUGCGGCCUAUCAGGUAGUAGUGGGUGUAACUUACCCACUAGCCGAUGACGGGUACGGGCCUUGAGAGAGGGAGCCCGGAGAUGGGUUCUGAGACACGAACCCAGACCCUACGGGGUGCAGCAGUUGCGAAACCUUCACACUGUGGGAAACCACGAUGAGGGGAUUCCAAGUGCCAGCACAUAGUGUUGGCUUUUCAUCUGUCUAAAACGCAGGUGGAAUAAGGGCUGGGUAAGACUGGUGCCCAGCCCGCCGCGGGUAACACCAGCAGCUCGAGUGGUGGCCAUUAUUAUUUGAGCUUAAAGCGUCCGUAGCCGGUCUGGUAAAUCCUUGGGUAAAUCGAACGGCUCAACCGUUCGACUUCCAGGGAGACUGCCAGACUUGGGGCCGGGAGAGGCUAGAGGUACUGUUGGGGUAGAAGUAAAAUUCUGUAAUCCCACCAGGACCACCAGUGGCGAAGGCGUCUAGCUAGAACGGACUCGACGGUGAGGGACGAAGCCCUGGGGCGCGAACCGGAUUAGAUACCCGGGUAGUCCAGGGUGUAAACGAUGCGGGCUUGGUGUCGGCAGUCUUACGCGGGCAGCCGGUGCCGUAGAUAAAUUGUUAAGCCCGCCGCUCGGGGAGUACG